UCAGUUAGGUAGAUAGGUAGUUUUAGUAAAUUUUAAGCCAAAAUGUUAUAUUAAUAUAAUAUUAAUCACUACACCCCGAGGCCAGAAGCGCGAGUCUUGAGAGUUCACAUAAAAAUAACGAAUUGUUUCGUAUAGUUUCUUCACGACAAAUAGAUUUUGAAAUCAUGGAAUAAAUGCAGUAAGGAUAGGCUUGGAUGUUAUAUUAAUGAUCAAGGGAAUUAUGCUUCCGUUAAUGGCUGUUCAUUGAGAGUUUGAGACAGACAUUCAAGAUUGCCGCAAGUUAGCUCUAUUAUUGUGAACAGUACCAUGCAACAUUCUUAGAUUUUUCUUUCUGAUAUUGUAACUUUAUUAUGAGUACUAGCUAUUUAAUUGUAUUCAGUGAGCUAGAGAUACCGAUAGUACUGCUACAUUGACUAUUUGUAAGUCAUAUGACACUUAAGUUACACUAUUUCAGGAACCUAACCCCCCACAGCUCCACGUGGGGUCUCAUAUAUAAUAUAUUUUUUUAUUUUAUUUUAUAAAUAUUUUUAUUACUUGCCUCCUUGGGUGCUAGUAACAUAUUUCAUUAUGACAAUGGUACCUGAGAAUGAUAAUAUUAACAACUGUGGAUCUGGAUUGGUCAUGGAGAAAGCAGAGCAACAAAAGAUUGAGACCUCAAGCAAUGAGAAGAGACCUGGUACUGUUGAGUACCUGAGAGUCCAUGGCACUACUGAAUGCCCUGCAAAGAGUGAACAACUACCAACCCUUAAUAACUUAGGUCACCCUGCAAACUUCCAGAAACACCCUAAAGCCCCUAAGAAGAAACGGAAGCCCAGAAUUCGUCAUGCCCCAUAUUCAAAAUACCCUGUAUUUGCCCCUGCUACCCUGAGCCUUCCAGGUGCCACAUGUCCCAACCCUUCAAGAGCCCAGGCCUUGCUGCCAAGAAACUUCCAUUCCAACAUUGCCCUGGCCUUAGAUUUUAUGACACAUAUCAAUUAUGAUGAAUUGAAUAACUUUGGCCGUAAACUAAGGGAAACAGUAAACAACCCCCAAGCUCGUCUCCGUGCUACUUCUGAGCAGUUGGGAGCUAUCAGUGCCAUAGUAUGCUACUCAAUCCCUCCUGAAUUCUCAUUAUAAUAACAUUUGAGUUAUCAACACAUACUACACAAUGGCAUUUAAGCUAUACAAGACACCAUACCACCAUUGUCGACAAAGAUGAGGUCUAUUGUUUUUCACCACUGGCACUCACCUUUAAGUAUGAUGUGGAGUGGAAAAGAUAAAUAAUGGAAAUACUGGAAGAUCACUCUGGCUGCCCAGAUAAUGCAGUACUGUUAUUAAAUAAAAUUACAGAUCAGUGUCGAGAUACACAUAAGCAUUACUCAUUAGCAGAUACAGUCAUUAAGGUCUGCUGUAUGAGUACCAAAUGUACAUAUAAAGAUCAUUGCUGAUAUAAAAAUCCAGGAACAAAGGCUCACCAUAAAAUUUGAGCAUGUUGAGCAAACAAAAUAUCAUAAGGCAAGCAAGAAUGGUAAACAAUUAUUAUAAUAGUACAGCAAAACAAAUCAAAGGGAGCUAAAACCUUAAAGUAGAAUAACAUCAUAAGUUUGUGAUUGUAUAAUUGAAAUGUUUAAGUGCCAAACAAAUAAAUGUGUGAAUUAAAUAAACUUAAUCAUUUUGAAAAUAUUCAAGUUUCCAGCUGGUGAUGAUUUGAAAAAAGAUUUAGCUAGAAAAUGUUUUUUUCAGUGGAAUAGAAGGGUAGAUGCCUUUCAGACACCAACUUCAAAUAUUAUGUUUUUUUUAUUUGGUCAUACAUAUAACUUUCUGAAAGUGAGUUUUGUUCAAGCCAGUUUUUAAUAUGGAUCACUUUAUGCAGUUUUCAUGUGUGAUUCAAAAAUUUGUGUUGAAAAAUAAAAAUUUUUAGUUUUA
This is a long non-coding RNA of Leptidea sinapis, 1905 nucleotides long. RefSeq lists it as uncharacterized. The record is from RefSeq and is a predicted model, not a curated record. NCBI's taxonomy places the organism in Eukaryota, Metazoa, Arthropoda, Insecta, Lepidoptera, Pieridae. The transcript has 2 exons.